RNAcentral lists this ribosomal RNA (497 nucleotides) under uncultured bacterium. Its description in RNAcentral is "partial 16S ribosomal RNA". It matches the Rfam family "Bacterial small subunit ribosomal RNA", at positions 28 to 507 of the family's 1533-position model. The record is from RNAcentral.
GAUGAACGCUGGCGGCGUGCCUAAUACAUGCAAGUCGAGCGAACGGACGAGAAGCUUGCUUCUCUGAUGUUAGCGGCGGACGGGUGAGUAACACGUGGAUAACCUACCUAUAAGACUGGGAUAACUUCGGGAAACCGGAGCUAAUACCGGAUAAUAUUUUGAACCGCAUGGUUCAAAAGUGAAAGACGGUCUUGCUGUCACUUAUAGAUGGAUCCGCGCUGCAUUAGCUAGUUGGUAAGGUAACGGCUUACCAAGGCGACGAUGCAUAGCCGACCUGAGAGGGUGAUAGGCCACACUGGAACUGAGACACGGUCCAGACUCCUACGGGAGGCAGCAGUAGGGAAUCUUCCGCAAUGGGCGAAAGCCUGACGGAGCAACGCCGCGUGAGUGAUGAAGGUCUUCGGAUCGUAAAACUCUGUUAUUAGGGAAGAACAUAUGUGUAAGUAACUGUGCACAUCUUGACGGUACCUAAUCAGAAAGCCACGGCUAACUACGUG